GAUGAACGCUGGCGGCGUGCUUAACACAUGCAAGUCGAACGGAAAGGCCCAAGCUUGCUUGGGUACUCGAGUGGCGAACGGGUGAGUAACACGUGGGUGAUCUGCCCUGCACUUCGGGAUAAGCCUGGGAAACUGGGUCUAAUACCGGAUAGGACCACAUUUUGGAUGGUGUGGUGGAAAGUUUUUCGGUGUGGGAUGAGCUCGCGGCCUAUCAGCUUGUUGGUGGGGUAAUGGCCUACCAAGGCGUCGACGGGUAGCCGGCCUGAGAGGGUGUACGGCCACAUUGGGACUGAGAUACGGCCCAGACUCCUACGGGAGGCAGCAGUGGGGAAUAUUGCACAAUGGGCGCAAGCCUGAUGCAGCGACGCCGCGUGGGGGAUGACGGCCUUCGGGUUGUAAACUCCUUUCGCUAGGGACGAAGCGUCUUUGUGACGGUACCUGGAGAAGAAGCACCGGCUAACUACGUG
This 467-nucleotide ribosomal RNA is filed under the name uncultured bacterium. Its description in RNAcentral is "partial 16S ribosomal RNA". It matches the Rfam family "Bacterial small subunit ribosomal RNA", at positions 28 to 507 of the family's 1533-position model. The record is from RNAcentral.